GGCUGCGAGAGUUGAGGCUCGGGUGUGAAAUUCAUAGUUUUUUAAGGUUUUUAUCGUUAACUCAAUCGUUUCCUGUGUUGUAGUUGUGUGUCUUAUUUUGAAAGAAAUAUUGAAUAUGGAAAGAAAUAUUUCUCGUUUGGCUCUUGACGAAGACUGAGAAGAUGUGGCAGUGAAGAUGAUGCCUUCAGAUAAUAUCUUGGUUUUCUCUACAAGAAAGCUGACUAGGAGUCUAGCCAGGUGCCUGAGCAAGGACCAGGGUUUUUGACACAAUCUUAGCAGUUUCUAAUGACUUUGGGCUUUAAAUGUCAAUAUGGACGGCAUUGAUGAAAGCUACAUCUGGGAGCGCCGCAUUGCCCAUGGCAUUAGGUAUCAAAGAGGAGCAGUCCCCUUCCCAGAAUCGGUUGAUAUUGGUCUGGAGUUCAAUGCGGCACUUGAAAGGAAGGAGAAGCUGGAUCAGAGCCUGCUGACGAAUAGUGUUAUGCUGGAAAUUUGUCAGUUUGCCAAAACGGUGACCAGGUCUGAGAAGUAUUUCUUGUUCGAAAUGCUGGAGUUCAACUUCGACCUUGGCUUUGACAUAAACAAUGACAGUCUGUGCUACAUCUAUGCAGUUCGUGUCCACAACAGAAUUAAGCACCUGAAGGAGCAAAUAAAGAUGAAGCCAAAUAGAUGGAAAGAAACAUUUCAGUUGCCAGAUCCAAGUGUUUUAGCCGGGUCCAAAGAAGACGUGUCAGGACGAUACUGUCCAAAAUGGAACAAAAUUGCUGAUAGUUCAGUGCUCACUGUCUCCAGCAAGAACUGCCAGUCUUCAGACAACCACGAAGCUGAAACUACCAGAGUUGCUAGCAAUAAAUACACUGCAAAACAACAAGGAGGAAUCCGUUUAAGAAAAACACAGGGCGCUAACCCUUUCUGUGCACAGCUUGGUGUGACCCUAGCUAUUCGACCAAGUCACGCCCCCAAACAGAAGUUGGACCCAAGUCUGCUCAUCAAUGGUGUGAUGAUAGAGAUGCUUGAUUUUUCCCGAGUGCUGUGUGGAAAACACACUUACAUAGUUUAUGAACUGGUCAAGCACAACUUUGGUUAUGCUUUUAAUAAACCUCAGUUCCGAAUGUGUCUAAAUAGGGUGAUAGAGAGAAAAUACACCUGUCUGACAGCUGAGGACAAAGACACUUUCAGAAAGGAACUUUUUAAGAUCCCGGCUGAGAAGAAUAAAUUGGAAUAUAAAG
Oreochromis aureus is the source of this 1226-nucleotide long non-coding RNA. The record is from Ensembl. NCBI's taxonomy places the organism in Eukaryota, Metazoa, Chordata, Actinopteri, Cichliformes, Cichlidae.